UACGAAGGGGGCUAGCGUUGCUCGGAAUUACUGGGCGUAAAGGGCGCGUAGGCGGUGUGUCAAGUCAGGCGUGAAAGCCCCGGGCUCAACCUCGGAAUGGCCUUCAAGACUGCUGGUCUUGAGUUCGAGAGAGGUGAGUGGAAUUCCGAGUGUAGAGGUGAAAUUCGUAGAUAUUCGGAGGAACACCAGUGGCGAAGGCGGCUCACUGGCUCGACACUGACGCUGAGGUGCGAAAGCGUGGGGAGCAAACAGG
This 253-nucleotide ribosomal RNA is filed under the name uncultured bacterium. Its description in RNAcentral is "partial 16S ribosomal RNA". It matches the Rfam family "Bacterial small subunit ribosomal RNA", at positions 524 to 776 of the family's 1533-position model. The record is from RNAcentral.